Parus major (Great Tit) is the source of this 3834-nucleotide long non-coding RNA. RefSeq lists it as uncharacterized. The transcript has 2 exons. Lineage: Eukaryota; Metazoa; Chordata; Aves; Passeriformes; Paridae. The record is from RefSeq and is a predicted model, not a curated record.
GAUUUCCUGUGUCCUGGUAUCCAUGCAUCCCUUUUGGGCAUGGCUGCAUUCCCCAAGCCUGGUUUGCUCCUGAUGCUCUUGCUCACUGGGUUUCCUAACACCAGGGGAACAAAGCAGGGGAAGGCCAGGCUGUGAGCGGGUUUGGGAGCUGCGUGUGUGCUGAUGGCCAGGACUUCAGUGCUUCUCACCAUACUGACCUGUGUUACCCAAGGAUGGGGAUUGUUUCUCUGGAGAAGAACUUCAUUCCUUUCUCUUCUAGAGGAUGUGCCAUGUCCUUGCUGUGCAGUGUAACUCCUCUGCCCCGUGUCCCCCAGUGCUGGUGUAAAUCCUCUGGGAAUGCAGCAAGAGCAAUGAACUCAGUCCCAGCCCUGUUUUGCUGUGUUCCCUAAGGAUUGGCACAUGUCUCUCCAUUGGUGGAGAGGACGUUUGUUUUUGUGGUGAGCAGGGUACAUAGCAAAUCCUAGCAGCAGACCCUGGUAUGACAAAAUAGGCUUGAACUGACUCUUUCUGAUUCAGUCUCUGGUAGAAGCAUUUUUGAAAAAUGUCCCCACUGUCCCCAGAAUUUUCUGUGUGUACAGACAUCAGAGUGCAGUGAGUGGUUUAGCUGCCGGUGGUCUUUUCAGUGCUGUGCCAGUUAGCUGGGUUGCUAAGAGCCCAGACAUGUCACUUCUGCAUUUUUUCCCAGCGACAGAUGAAAGGAGUGGGAGAACUCCAAUUUGGGCAUGCCAGAGGAUGGGACUGCCAAGCAGCUUGUCUGGGGAGAAAAAAGAAAUACAGGCUGGCAGUGUCUCAUGUUGGUGGAAGAAAAAGACCUUUGUAACUCCUUUUCUUCUCAUCUCAUGUGCUUUUUGUUUAUUUUGCACAGUCACCAACCUGGAGGCAGCAGCAGAAGGACUGAAGGCUCACAGUGCUGCCACCACCUGUGCCUUCCCACAGCCCUGCCCCUGGUGCCAGAGCCCUGUGCAGUGUUGGUGCUUGGAGCCUGAUGGUUCCAGCCUGACACAGCCUCCUUGCACCCUGCAUGGGUGGCAAACCCACCCAUAUUUGAUUUGUUACGCUUCUUUUUCUGGUUGGAUGUGCCAUUGUGCAGGGCAAUGAAGCAUGUUUAAGGUGGUAUCUGUCGAAACAACCAUGAAACUCUUGUAUUCACGGGGCAUUUUAUUAGAAUCCUUCUAAUUUUAGCCUAAACCUAUUUUAUGGAUUUCACUUCAAAGUGUUAUUUAUAAAAAGAAUCACUGAAUCCUUAUAGGCUUAACAGUCAUGAGGUAAUCUUAGGAAAGUCAUUUAAUGAUGCUAAGGCAGCAAACAGUCCAAUAUGUUUAUGAAUUGGACCCCAUGUAAUUUUGAUCUUGUUGAAUUUGCGUACCCUGUCAUUCACAUUGGCUUGUUUAACUGUUCCUGCCCCCCUCUCCAGUAUAAUCCAGUCCCUUAGACCAUGUCAAUAGGGAUGUGCCAAGGCUCUAUGUCAUAGAGGGUUCAUUCUGUCUCCACAGGCUGCCCUUUCUCUGUCUCCAAGGCAAUAGAUGCAUUAAUGCACCCUCAGACAGUGGCCUGCCAUUAAAAUGCUCCUUUGUAAGUGCAUCUUUGGUAGCCUGGAGAGCUGACUACGUCAUGUGAACAUUUUUCACUGCCACAAAAAGCUGGGGGAAGAAAGAAUUUAAUUUUGUUUAGCUAGGAAUAAGUUGCCUUGAGCUAUUGGCACUCAUCUUUUCUUGGUGCAAACUUUUGUGUAGUCAAUUUCACAGUCCCAUCAUUAACAGUUCUCAUUUUCAAAGAGUUUAUAAUCUAAAUGGGCAGAUAGUCAAGCCUUUUCCUCAAGCAGGGAUAUUACUAUUCACUGCUUUAGAGCCUUGGUGCAGUCUUUUUGGCAUGAACAGUUGCCUUAAUGCUCUUGCAGGUAAAACUCAAUUAUCUCACUGUCUGACUCACAGAAACUUCCACAACUCUUAGGAGCUGGUGGAGAAAAAGUGAAAGCAUUCUGCUCCCUAGAUGAUAUCUGGAGAGAAGGUGUCCUGAGGAUGAGGCCUGCAGGUGCCAUGGGGUGUGCAUUUCUGCAGAGCCCAAAGGCCAGGCUGAGCACAACCUGAGCCCCCUGAGCUGGACUGUCCCUGGCAGCAGUGGUUCUGGGCUGGCUGCUGCUGGGCUCCUCUGGAGCAGGACUGUCCCUGGCAGCAGUGGUGGGUUUCUCUGUGCUGAAGCUGUUGGCUCCACAGGAGAGCCCUUUCCUGCCCAGCUGGAUCACUCCCACUGGCCUCAUGGUCUGCACAUGACAAAGCAUUGAUGCAAUUCAGGACAUUCAUCCCCGGGCAGCUUCACUAAAAUACAAUCCUGUUUGACAGAUGUACUCCAGCACAUCUUUUUGAGAGCCCCUAUGCCAGCUCCUCUUGCUUUUGUUUGGGGCUUGGCCUUUGCUGGUGAAGCUCCUUCCAGGUGUUCACCUGAGUUUCUGAUUUAUCUCCUUUGUGUUCUGUGGAAAGUCAGGCUGCAGCAUUCAGGAACAAUGGUACGAUUAUGUAAGAGCUCUUUUUCCCUUUCAGAGAGGACAGAGUGAAAAUCUCCAGGGAUAUCUGUUUGUCUUUUGGCAGUGCUUGGCAAAUGCUUAAACACUGUUCAAUAUUAAACAAUCUUGCUUGGGACUGGCAUUUAAGAAGUAACAAAAUUAUGUUUGGUGCUGUUCUCUCAACUAACAUCUCUUAGGUGCUGUUGCAAAGACCUGGGGCAUGGUUGAGAGGGAGAAACCAUUUUAAUUCUUGCAGAGAAUAAAUUUAUCUAUCAUGAAUUGAAGAAUCAGCUAUGUAUGAGGAGAAUUUUUGGGAUGGCAAGUAUUUGAGGGGGCAUUUAAUACUAAAAUGCUGAUCAGAAGCCUUAGGCAGUGUAAGGAAUGUGCAGGGACAUUAGUGAUGAAUGGGUCUGUGCUGGGUGUGCACUGCAGGGUUGUGCUCCACAAGGUGACAGAUCACACACAUCCAGCAGUGCAGCUGACCAAGGAUCUCCAUGGGACAUCCACUUAAUUGUGCUUUAAACAAAUCACAUUAUUGGUCUAUUGGAUGAAUCCAACCCCUUCUUUGUGGUAAGCUAAGAAGCACACAUGAGUUAUUACAGUGGAAAGUGCUUUAAAAACACUAAUUGACUUUGUGUCAAGGGGCCUGAUUGUACAUCUCUGAACGAAUUCAAUUAAACGGUGUAGGUGGUUUUAUUUUGGAUCUUAGCCAGUUUUGCUUCCAGCUCUCAUUUGGGGGAUAUUUUUUAACCUUAUUGAACUUAAAGAACAAACAACAAUUUUCUGUUGCUCUAGGCAUUUUCUUCCUUAAAAUUUUCCUUUUCUAAAUACCGAAGCAAAUUUUUACAGGGCUGGUUUGCACCACUUUGCACUGGUGUUUCUGAAUAGAAAUUUGUGAUUUUAUUUUUGAGAUUUAAAAAUAGUUUCUUAUUUAUUUUGGUUAUUUCAGGGAAGAAAUUUCACAGGAAAUCAAUAGUUUUAAAGUACAUUUGCAUUUUACCAGCAGAAAGUUAAAACAUUAAUUGUUGUUUAAUAAACUUCAUCUGAAUGACAGAUAUGAUAAAAGCAAAGAUGAAUAUUUCUGUGUUCUGAAACAAUGUUCCUUCUCCCUCUGCACCCAGAUGUUUUCUCCUAACAGUUUAUUCUUUCUUUUUCUCUAUGUAAAUAUUAUGGGACUCUGAUGGGAAAGAAGCUGAUGGCCAUCGUAUAAUAAAUAUCUGUUCUCCUGUGCUUAUUAAGUGGUGUGCAAACCUCUUUAUGUGAAUGAUCCCCUGGAAAGGCUUAACUUUGGAGAGACUUCACCUUCCAUUACAAUAAUACAAUACCUCACUCUU